Cobetia sp. is the source of this 235-nucleotide ribosomal RNA. It matches the Rfam family "Bacterial small subunit ribosomal RNA", at positions 1299 to 1533 of the family's 1533-position model. The record is from Rfam. NCBI's taxonomy places the organism in Bacteria, Pseudomonadati, Pseudomonadota, Gammaproteobacteria, Oceanospirillales, Halomonadaceae.
UGGAGUCUGCAACUCGACUCCAUGAAGUCGGAAUCGCUAGUAAUCGUGGAUCAGAAUGCCACGGUGAAUACGUUCCCGGGCCUUGUACACACCGCCCGUCACACCAUGGGAGUGGACUGCACCAGAAGUGGUUAGCCUAACCUUCGGGAGGGCGAUCACCACGGUGUGGUUCAUGACUGGGGUGAAGUCGUAACAAGGUAGCCCUAGGGGAACCUGGGGCUGGAUCACCUCCUUA